AGCACUUGUAUGUGUUUUUGUUCAACUGGCAAAGACAGGGAAGGCACGUGAAAAAUAAAUCCUCUCUUGAAACCUAGACUCAUGGUUCAAUAUGAGUUUUGGUACAUACAAGAAGGAAUAUC
Small nucleolar RNA from Meriones unguiculatus (Mongolian gerbil), 122 nucleotides. The record is from Ensembl. Lineage: Eukaryota; Metazoa; Chordata; Mammalia; Rodentia; Muridae.